UCCCUUUGUUGCUCAAGGAGAUGCAAUGAUAAUAGAUGUUGCAUGCAUCUUGUUCAGAGUUUAAUAAAGAGUUAAACGUAGAAAUUUCAUCUGUUAAAUUACUAUGUUUUAGUUCUUUAAACUCAAAUACCAUCUAAUCAUCAACUUGCAAAAAUUGAAUUGAGGUAAAGGAAGGAUGACAAGAAUUCUGCUCCUGUUGAAGAUGCAACCUCCACAAAAAGAAAACCAUGUAGUAAAGAAUUUGAUGUGGAUUCACUCAACAAAAUGUUAAGAGAUUUUUAUUUGGCCAAAGAGCUAGCUAUUAAAGAUAUUUUCCAGUCAUCAGCCUAAAUAGAAAGUUGUCAUCUGCUGCCAG
This is a non-coding RNA of Lactuca sativa (garden lettuce), 355 nucleotides long. Lineage: Eukaryota; Viridiplantae; Streptophyta; Magnoliopsida; Asterales; Asteraceae. The record is from RefSeq and is a predicted model, not a curated record.